Molecule: ribosomal RNA, 253 nt
Filed under: uncultured bacterium
Lineage: Bacteria
Description: partial 16S ribosomal RNA
Rfam family: Bacterial small subunit ribosomal RNA
Source: RNAcentral
GACGUAGGGCGCGAGCGUUGUCCGGAUUUAUUGGGCGUAAAGAGCUCGUAGGCGGCUUGUCGCGUCGACUGUGAAAUCCCGCGGCUCAACCGCGGGUCUGCAGUCGAUACGGGCAGGCUAGAGUUCGGUAGGGGAGACUGGAAUUCAAGGUGUAGCGGUGAGAUGCGCAGAUAUCUUGAGGAACACCGGUGGCGAAGGCGGAUCUCUGGGCCAUUACUGACGCUGAGGAGCGAAAGCGUGGGGAGCGAACAGG